Molecule: ribosomal RNA, 459 nt
Filed under: uncultured bacterium
Lineage: Bacteria
Description: bacterial SSU rRNA
Rfam family: Bacterial small subunit ribosomal RNA
Source: RNAcentral
GGUGAACGUUGGCGGUGUGCCUAAUACAUGCAAGUCGAACGGAGACUGUAGCAAUACUGUCUUAGUGGCGAACGGGUGAGUAACGCGUUGGUGAUCUGCCUCGAAGUGUGGAAUAACCUCCCGAAAGGGAAGCUAAUACCGCAUAGUCUCUCAAGGUUUAGAAAAUUGAGAGUAAAGGAUUUAUUCGCUUCGAGAGGAGCCUGCGUCCCAUCAGCUAGUUGGUAGGGUAACGGCCUACCAAGGCAAUGACGGUAGCCGGCCUGAGAGGGUGUCCGGCCACACUGGAACUGAGACACGGUCCAGACUCCUACGGGAGGCAGCAGUGGGGAAUUUGCGCAAUGGGCGAAAGCCUGACGCAGCGACGCCGCGUGGGUGAUGAAGUUCUUCGGAACGUAAAGCCCUGUCAGGAGGGACGAAGCUCUGACGGUACCUCCAAAGGAAGCCCCGGCUAACUCCGUG